This is a non-coding RNA of Vicugna pacos (alpaca), 331 nucleotides long. Lineage: Eukaryota; Metazoa; Chordata; Mammalia; Artiodactyla; Camelidae. The record is from RefSeq and is a predicted model, not a curated record.
UCCACUGUCUUCCCUUUCAGGUUCUGGAAAAUGACCCGUGGACUCAGGCCAUUGGGCAGCAGCCGUAUCUCGAACUUACACAGCUUCCCGAACAGUAGAACUAAACCAAACUCCACAGAGGGCUGCAGCCCCACCAUGACACUGAUCCACCCACAGAGCUCUGCCCAGUUACCUUGGAUCCAUCAGCCACAACAAGCCUUUCAGCACACACCAACGUUCCACCUGGAAUCCAACUUGUAAUUGCCAUCACCAAUGGUUGCUGCAUCUUGACAGUGUUGGGGGAGGGGCUGCAUCAGACUAGAGGAUCCUAAUUUAAAAGUGAUUCACUCCA